ACUGGCGCAUGCCAGAGUGUGAAAAACUCCGGUGGUACAGGAUGGACCCGCGUUGGAUUAGCCAGUUGGCGGGGUAACGGCCCACCAAAGCGACGAUCCAUAGCCGGCCUGAGAGGGUGAACGGCCACAUUGGGACUGAGACACGGCCCAGACUCCUACGGGAGGCAGCAGUGGGGAAUAUUGCACAAUGGGGGAAACCCUGAUGCAGCGACGCCGCGUGAAGGAAGAAGUAUCUCGGUAUGUAAACUUCUAUCAGCAGGGAAGAUGAUGACGGUACCUGACUAAGAAGCCCCGGCUAACUACGUGCCAGCAGCCGCGGUAAUACGUAGGGGGCAAGCGUUAUCCGGAUUUACUGGGUGUAAAGGGAGCGCAGACGGUUAUGCAAGUCUGAUGUGAAAGGCUGGGGCUCAACCCUGGGACUGCAUUGGAAACUGUAUGGCUUGAGUGCCGGAAGGGUAAGCGGAAUUCCUAGUGUAGCGGUGAAAUGCGUAGAUAUUAGGAGGAACACCAGUGGCGAAGGCGGCUUACUGGACGGUAACUGACGUUGAGGCUCGAAAGCGUGGGGAGCAAACAGGAUUAG
This 580-nucleotide ribosomal RNA is filed under the name uncultured rumen bacterium. Its description in RNAcentral is "bacterial SSU rRNA". It matches the Rfam family "Bacterial small subunit ribosomal RNA", at positions 182 to 781 of the family's 1533-position model. The record is from RNAcentral.